GGAUAGCUCAGCCGGUAGAGCAUAAGACUCUUAAUCUCAGGGUCACGGGUUUGAGCCCCAUGUUGGGCA
This is a non-coding RNA of Podarcis lilfordi (Lilford's wall lizard), 69 nucleotides long. Lineage: Eukaryota; Metazoa; Chordata; Lepidosauria; Squamata; Lacertidae. The record is from the annotation of a GenBank genome assembly.